This 397-nucleotide ribosomal RNA is filed under the name uncultured bacterium. RNAcentral describes it as "bacterial SSU rRNA". It matches the Rfam family "Bacterial small subunit ribosomal RNA", at positions 505 to 898 of the family's 1533-position model. The record is from RNAcentral.
GUGUCAGCAGCCGCGGUAACACGUAGGGACCAAGCGUUGUCCGGAUUCAUUGGGCGUAAAGAGCUCGUAGGCCGUUCGAUAAGUCGGGUGUGAAACCUCCAGGCUCAACCUGGAGACGCCACCCGAUACUGUCGUGACUAGAGUCCAGUAGGGGAGCGUGGAAUUCCUGGUGUAGCGGUGAAAUGCGCAGAUAUCAGGAGGAACACCAGCGGCGAAGGCGGCGCUCUGGGCUGGAACUGACGCUGAGGAGCGAAAGCGUGGGGAGCGAACAGGAUUAGAUACCCUGGUAGUCCACGCCGUAAACGUUGGGUACUAGGUGUGGGGUCUUAUCAACGGAUUCCGUGCCGAAGCUAACGCAUUAAGUACGCCGCCUGGGGAGUACGGCCGCAAGGCUAAA